This is a long non-coding RNA of Diceros bicornis minor, 3706 nucleotides long. RefSeq lists it as uncharacterized. NCBI's taxonomy places the organism in Eukaryota, Metazoa, Chordata, Mammalia, Perissodactyla, Rhinocerotidae. The record is from RefSeq and is a predicted model, not a curated record. The transcript is spliced from 2 exons.
UUUGAAUCAUGGAUGUUAGUUUGUUAAUUAACAACUAAUUAACAGAAUUUGAUAAUCUGUUCAUCUAUGCUAAUUCAUCAAAAUAAUUCAGAGACCUUUUGGAAAGAGACAAAUCUGAAUAUAGGAAAAUCUAGUUAGAAAUCUGUGCUAAUAAUUUUGGUGAGUCCUACUGUGUACUUGAAACGAGGGUAUAUGAAUAUUUAAGGGACAAAGAAAGAUGUUGAAUGAGAGGAGGAGUAAGGGUUGAAUAGGUGUAUUGGUAAGUUUGCAGUGGUGUGCUUGCAAGACGGAGUAGCUUCUGCCUGAAAAUUUCUAGUGUCUCAAGAGUGGAAGUCUAGAGUCAUCUGCUGAGAAUGAGAGGGAUCGAGGAAGUUGAGUCAUGUGGUGAAGGCUGAAAGUCAUCAUUAUCGGAAAUAUGAAAACACUCUCCUUGAUUCAUAGAAUUUCCAGGCAACCCAAGAUCUAGAGGAUUCAAUCCAUACGGUCUUACCAUCUUUAAUCUUUAUAGACAGACACAGAAAUUUAGGUUUAGAAACAAUUGAUUAAAGACCAAGCAAUGGGAUUUAAUCAGGGAUGGAGUUUUAAAGGCAGAGGCAAUAAAAGGGGAAGGAAGCUGAAGACAUUAGCAAGAGAGCACAGGAUAGUAAGGGUAUUGAAGAUAAAUAGGUAGAACAAUCAUAAUCUACAGAUCAGAAAAGAACAGGGCUAGGGAAAAAAUGGAUGUUUGAGACAGAGGGUGACGUUAAAAAUGUCUCUCACUUUUCUCACUUAAGUUACUGAAAUGCUGCUUAUGACAUCAGUCAAGAUGGGGAGCAGGAGAGGAGGAACAGGUUUGAUAUGAAUAAGAUUUUUAGAAGGAAUUUUGAGAUCCUGUCAAGAAAUCCAUGAGAAAAAGAUAAAUAAGCAUGGAAAUGAGUGAUGGAGACAAAUGUACAUUUGGAAAUCAUAAUGAUAUGGGUUAUCUAUGAAGUAAUAAGAAUAGUUAAGAUCACCAAGAAAACAUGGAGAAAAAGAAAAAGCUUUACAAGGAGACUGUCAUAGAAAAAUAUUCACGGAAGACAGGCAAAGCAGGAAGUGAGCAAGAAGACAGAAGGAAAAGUUAGAGAGAGAGGAGAAUACUCAAGAUAAAUGGUAUUGAGAAAAGAACUUAUGACAAAACUGAGUAUAAGCAUAAGAUCAAUACUCUAAAGAGUUCAAGCAGAUGGCAUUCAAUAAAAAAUAGAAUAUUUGGUUUCCUAGUAGGCUUAGGUUCUUUCUAAGAAUCUCUGAAGCUCUUUUCUAAAACCCAACCCAAUGGAACCAAAUGAGAAGAAAUAAAAACAUAAAAUUCUUUUUAAAGACAAAUUACUUGGAUUCUGCAUUUGAACAAAGACAAAAGGAAAAACUAUACACAAAUACACACAGUUAUUUAGUCAUUCUAUGUUUAAAUAUCCACAUCAUAUUUCAUUUAAUGAUUUUAAUUACAUGAACUCAUAGGGGUUAAGAAAUUUGAAUUUGAGUUGCUCACAUUAAAAAGCUGUGUAACCUUGGAUAAACUGCAGAAUCUUCCUUAUUGGCAUUCCUUCCAGUGAAAUAAUGAAGACAUUCAUUCUUAAUAUGACUCAGUUAAUUGUCAUAAGUUAGAGAAGAAGUUAAGUCAAGUAUUCAGGAGUAUUACAUAACUGGCACAUAUGCUUGAUUAAUUUGGCUACAUUUUUAUAUGUCCUUUUAAUUGUUUAACACUAAAAAACAAAAGCAAAAAUACUCUCAAGUUCAUCAGUAAUUCUAGAUUGUUUUUAAAAAAACACCAAAUAGGGGGCUGGCCCCAUGGCCUAGUGGUUAAGUUCAGUACACUCCACUUUGGGGGCCCAGGUUUGGUUCCAUGGGCACAGACCUACACCACUCAUCAGCAGCCAUGCUGUGGCAGUGACCCACAUACAAAAAGAGGAAGAUUGGUGCAGAUGUUAGCUCAGUGCGAAUCUUCCUCAUCAAAAAGUGGAAGAUUGGCGGCAGAUGUCAGCUUAGGGCGAAAUUUCCUCAGCAAAAAGACAAAAACAACAACAACAAAAAACCCCACCAAACAAAUAAAUAAAUACAUAACAAAAUAAAUAAAUAAAGGGACACAAAGGGUAAUGGAAUGGAUAUAAUAUUUCUCUUAACUCCUCUUAUGACUUUCUCUUAGACCCUUGGCCUUGUUCUGAUGCUAAUUUACAUUAUAGAGUUGACAGUUUUCACAUGGAUCUUGAUAGGUCAAUCACAUAGUCAAAACCCAAAGUAUGACAAUACUGUAUCUGAAAUCUAUAACCCUUCACAAAGUAGCAUCACUAAUAAAAUACAUUGAUUUUAUACCAUGAGAAGUAAAAAGUUCGUCAUCAUAUUGAGAUAGAUUGGAAGAGGCAAUCCAUUCCUAUGUAGGCAGACAUCUGGAGAUGUUUGUCUUCACCAUACUGAUCAUCUCUAGCAUUGAUUAUGCUUAUUAUAAGCAUGAUCAGAGUACAAAGAUAGGGAAUAUUAUUUUAAAGCAAGUCCUUUUUUUUUCCAGAAGUGUAGAUACUGCAUUUAACAUUAAAGAAUUAGGCUAGAGGCUGAAUUUGAGUUUUAUAAAAUAAACACCAGCCCUUAUUCACCUCCGUCUACUAAAUCCAGUUGUUAAGGGAAUCAGCAAAUUGAAGAACAAGUUAGCAUGAAAAUGAAAUAAAAUUACCUUGGCUAAUGGUUUGUGAAGGAAGCAAACGCAGGGGCUCAUCUGAACCUUAGCUGUGUCAAUUACUUAGAAGAAAAGCUAACAGGCUAUGUCUCAAAACACUGCAAAUGGUGUUAGUGGGCUAAGCAAAGGAAAUUGAACUCCAGAUGCUGCAGGAGUCAAUGACUUUGCCAAAAUUUUGAUCAGAGGCCUACACUUGGCAAUUGGAGUUUAGCAUGGGUAAGUGGAAUUUGCAUAAUAAAAUUUAAAUAUUAAUUGUAUCCUCAUGGUAAAAAACAAAUAAUGCAAACAAAAGAUAUUAGCUUAAUUAAAUGAACUUUAAUAUAUUUUUCUUUUAAAUUUAUAUUCUCAAAGACAGCAAAUGGAUUGGCAAAUGGACUCAGAAGAGACAAAUCCUAACUAAUUGUGUCCUGCAUAUAUUACAUUUUUACCAACAGUGUUAACUUUUGUUUGGAUUAAUUAUGUAUGGGCUAAAUAUUUCAGCUCUAAUAAUAGACACUGAUAUUUUGACAGGCCUAAUAAUAAGCCCAAUAUUUUGAAAGGCAACAAAACAUGAAGUCCAAAGAUUUUGUAUCAGCUCUGCCACGUGUGAGACGUUUGAUUUUGGGCAACCUGUUUAACCAUUUUUGGUCAGAGUUUUCUCAUCUCUAUAAUGAGACUCCAAUUCAAAAAUGUAAGAAGUUGAUAUUGCACAGAGGUCCUGGAAGCUGUGUUCAUAUUAUUUUCCAGUCUUUUUUUUUCUGUUUUCUCAGAUUCUAUAAUUUCUAUUGACCUAUCUUCAAGUUCACUUACUCAUUCCUCUGCCAUCUCCAUUCUACUACUGAGUCAUCUCGUAUUUUGUCAUUUUAGGUACUGUAUUUUCCAGUUGUUUAAUUUACAUUUGUUAAAAAUAGUUCAUAUUUCUUUGCUGACAAGUUCUAUAUUUCCAUUUGUUUCCAGAGUGUUCCCCUUUACCUUAUGAACCUGGUUAUAAUAGCUGCUUUAGAGUCUUUGAGUAACAAUUAAAACACCUGGGUCAUCUCA